This 268-nucleotide long non-coding RNA is filed under the name Lathyrus oleraceus (garden pea). RNAcentral describes it as "Pisum sativum (pea) long non-coding RNA (PSAT_LNC015819)". The record is from RNAcentral. Lineage: Eukaryota; Viridiplantae; Streptophyta; Magnoliopsida; Fabales; Fabaceae.
GUUUAUCUAGUGGAAUAGAAAGGUGAUACAGCUUGUGAAAGGUUCACUUAGUAAAUGAGUUUUUAUAUCAUUUUCAGUUUUUAUCUUUUCUCAUUUUCACUAAGAGAGAGAGAGAGAGAGAGAGAGGAAUUGGUUGAUAACGGCGUCACAGAUGAAAAUUGGUAGGUUUCUCUCAUGGCCAAUCAAUACUUAGAUAGUAAAAUUUAGAGUUUUAAUUUAUUUAACUAACCCUGAAAUACCCCUAUAUAUUAUUUAUGUGAUCAAAAAU